GAUGCAGCAAGACUUUUGAAGAAUUUUGUUCUUGCCAUUAGUUUCCUUGUGAUGGACUUUUGGGUUGAAGAUACAGAUGCUAAACUGGAUGAAUUAAAUGCAAUGGGUUAAACUAGGCCCUGAGGUAGCGAGGGCCUUAUGGCCACAUUGAAUCAACAGAGAAUCAAGGCAUCACCCAGAAGUGAACAGCUCCAGCAUUACAAUCACUUUCUGAGCCAAUCCUGAAAGAUAUGGUUAAAGGACAAUCUUCACAGUGGGUAAAACUGUGGGCAGUACACAUGCUAUUACACUUUCUUUGGAAGAAGAAAUGACCAGAUGAAAGACUGUUCGAUGACACAUGGUCUAUAGCCAAUGGAUUGGCUGGAUGGUCGGGGAUUUAAAAAGAUCACAAUUGGAAAAUUGACAAGAAUGACAUCUGGGAAAGAAGUAUGUGGAUAGAUCUCUCCAAAUGGGCUAAAAUGUAAAGGUAUUUGUAUCCCAUGUAAAUGCUCACCAAAAUGUCAGUUCUGCUGAUGAAGAGUUCAAUCAUCAAGUGGAUCAGAUGACAUAUUAUGUGGACAAGAAGUCUGUUUCCCCAGCCAUUCCAUCAUUGCUCAAAGGAAACAUGAAAUAAGAGGCCAUGGUGGCUGAAAUUGGGGUUAUCCUCAAACUCAACAACAUCGAAUUGUACUCACCAAGGCUGACUCGGCUACUGCAGUUGCCAGAUCUGCUGACAGCAGAAAACAACACUGAGCCCAAUAUGCUACCAUUCCUCAAGGUGACCAGUCAGUAACCUGGAGGCAGGUUGACUACAUUGACUACUCUCUCUAUGGAAAGGACAACAUUUUGUUUUGACUGGAGUAGAUACUUCUUCUGGUUAUGGAUUUGCCUUUCCUGCACAUAAUGCUUCUCCCCAAACCGUCAUCAAUAGAUUUCCAAAAUGCCUUUUCCACUGUCAUGUUAUUCCACACAGUACUCUUUCUGAUCAAAAACUCAUUUCACAGCCAGAGAAAUGUGACAGUGUGCCUAACAAUAAUGGAAAUUACUGGCCUUACCAUGUUACCCAUGAUCCUGAAGCAGCUAGUCUGAUAAAAAGAUAUAACAGCCUUUUGAAGACAUCGUUGCAGCACCAAUUAGAUGGUGCCAGCAUGGAGGGCUGGGACAGAGUUCUUUAGAUGCUUUGAAUCAGCAUCCAAAAUAUGGUAUAGUUUCUCCUAUAGCCAGGAUCCAGGGAUCUAGGAAUGAAGGGGUGGAAAAAGGAAUCAUUCCACUCACUCUUACUCCUAGUGACCUUCUAGGAAAUUUUUUGCCUCCUGUCCCUACAAUUCUAGGUUCUGCUGGCUUAGAAGUUUUAAUUCCAGAAGGGGGAGUGUUCCUACCAGAAGCCACAACAAACAUUCCAUUGAACUGGAAGCUCAGACUUCCCCCUGUUUAUUUUGGGUUUCUAAUGCCCUUAAACUAAUAUACUAAAAAAUGAAUAGCAGUGUUACAAGGGAUGAUAGAUCCAGAUUCAUUGGGGAAAGUAGAUUGCCUCUCCACAAUGGAGGUAAGAAGGUUUAUGUCUGGUGUGUAGGAUAUCAUUUAGGAAGUCUCUUAGUACUACCAUGUCUUGUGAUUAAAGACAAUGCAAAACAUUAACAGGCUAAUUCUAUCAGGAUGACAAAGUGUACAGACCCAUUAGGAAUUAAGGUAUGGGUCACCCCCCUCCCCCAGGAAAAGAAUCAAAACUAGCUGAGGUGCUUGCUGAAGGUUUAGGAAACGCAGAAUGGGUAGUAGAGGAAGGUAGAUUGAAAUACCAUCUAAGUCCUAUGACCAGUUGCAGUAAAGAGGAUUAUAAAGUAAUAUAAGUGCUUUUGUUUUAUUUUGUUAAUAACAGAUUUGUAUAGAUAUUUGUGCUUUCUUUCAAUUUCUUCAACAUCAAUUGGUAUUUAAGUUGAGAUACUAAAAAAAUGUUCCCAAGGAACAUUGACCUAUUCUACAUUUACAUAUGUGCUUGUGAUUGUAGGGGCAAAGGUUAUAUCUUGUUAGCAUAUUUAUGACCUGGUUAUUUUUGUUUGCACAUGAGAUAUGACUUGUGUCAAGUUGACAAUGGGUGGAUUGUAAUAGCUAUUCCUGGUUGCCAACUUUACUAUAUCCGUAGUGAACUACACUCUAGAAUUGGAAGGCACACCUGUGUUCCAGGUCUAGAGGCUAGAAGACACAAGUUUCUGAUCUGGAUAUUGUCAUGGAGAUUUUGAGGCAUAGUGGCCAUGAAAAUCUUAGGCCCAGGAAACACAGUGCACAUCUUAAAUCCUAGGAGACUGAGGCAAGGAGAUCUCUGAAUUCAAGAUCAACCUAGGAUAAAGCAAAUCCUUGAACCAGUUGUGGUGGUACACACCUUUAAUCUGGGCUACACUCUCUCCUAGUACCUACAUAAGUACAUUGCAAAAAGGCAGACUCACUCUUCUUUGACUGAAUGCACUUACUUGGCAGCACAUCCAUGGAAACCUCCUUCUACAGAAUAUCAGCUUAAACAACCAGCUCACAAUGCCAGUUCAGUCUUGUGGGGCUGAGCAACUAUUAGAUUCUUGGACUUCCCAUCCAUACCUGCCCAUUGUUGGUUUAGUUGAAGCACAGACUGUAAGUUAUCACAAUAAACUCCCUUAAUAUAUAGACAUUCCAUAAUAUCCAUUACUCUAGAGAACCCUGACUAAUGUAUACAGAAAGUUCAAAAAUAAUAUAUUAAAACAUAAGAAAACUUCUCUUGGCAGACAAAGUAUGAAUCUCAGAAUCCUCAUGAAGAAGGAGAAUGGAAUAGCAAAUGGAAAAACGAUGUUGUUUCAAAAGGCAUGGAUGACACACAUGGAUGAAUUGCCACUUGUUGAUACAAAAUGGGCAAUGUUAGAAAACUAUUGAGGAAGCCAAUUUUUCAAAACUUGUAUACUUCAGUUCGGCCAAAAGAUAAAAAUUAGUUGUUCAUGUUCAGCCUAACUAAAGAAUACAGACCCAGCUCUUCUCAAGAAGUGUUCUAGGAAAGUAAGAAGUAGUACAUUAACUGAUGUAAAAAUAACAAUUUUGAUUUUUUUUGAGAUAAGUUUUUUCUAUAUAGCCUUGAAUGUUCUGGAAAUCACUAUGUAGGCACAGAUGUCUUUGAAGAUAUAAGAUCAAUUUGCCUCUUCCUCAUAAGUGCUGGAAUUGAUUAUGAGAUGAACCAUCAUAUUUGUCUAUGAGAAAUAAUCUACCAAUCUCUUUAGUUUGAUGUAAAAAGGGUUCCAUCCCUGGGCAAUUAACCUUGCACACCUGGAAUAUAAGGUUUUCACAAAGGUCAAAAUUCAUAUCUUCAAACCAUUAUUUUCUAAAGUGAGUUUUUUGCUACUCUAACUCAUCUCUGAACAUAAUUUAUGAGAUACAUCAUGCAUCUAAACCUCCAAAUACUUUUGGUAGCACUGGUUAUUUGAAAUGAGAAGGCUAUAAAGAACCUAGAGGAAAUUUUAGAUUCUAGACAAAAAAGAUGUUUCACACUAAAAAAGUCUUUUCACACUAAAUAUUGUAUUUAGUGUCUACCUCUUCAUCUUACCAGAGGGUCGUCUGCAUCAGUAUUAUAAAAAAAAUGUUCUGAGUCCCUGUUCACAGUAUGAAAAAUCAUUUUUGAGUGGAUCUGUGGGUUUGUAAUCCAUUGUCAAGGGGACUACCAUCACUGAACUCUAUAGUCCAUAUUCUCUGAUUUUACUCUGCUUCUGGGUUACAUUCUCCACAUACUACUCCAUAUACUGCACUUUUAGAUAUAGCAUAAUUUUAAGUAUAAAUUAUUAUGAUUCACAUGUUAAUACAAGAAGCUCAACAAAAACCACAUAAAUAUCUGUGCACAACUAUCCACACCCCAAUCUGGCCUGUAGUGAGCUGAUCUUCCAGGAGGGUUAACAUAUCCAAGAUGAUAGAUGAAACCACCACUGCUGGCUGAAUACUGGGUGCAAAUUGAACCCACCUGGAGUCCACAGGAUACAGGAUAUGUGGAACAGGUGGGCACAGGAUUAUUUCUGUUUCCAUCUGUGCCCCGGAUCUAAACCUGUGUAAUAACAAUUCAGCCCCCAAUUCCACCCAGAAAAAGCUGGUCUCCCAGGAGUGUUGACACACCUAAGAUCACAGGCUCACAGGCUCACAGGAGGAACAAGCUUCAGUCAGAGACAGCAAUAUCAGCUAACACCAGAGAUAACCAUAUGACAAGAGGCAAACCAGAGAACAUAAGCAAAACAAACAAGCAAACAAACAAACAAACAAAAAACCCAAGAAUAAUUGGCCUCAUCAGAACACAGUUCUUUCACAAUCACCAGUCCUGGAUACCCCAAAACACCUGAAAGGCAAGGUUCUAAUAUAAAAUCACAUCUUAUAAGGGUGAUAGGGGAUUUUAAGAAGGAUAUGAAUAACUUCCUUAAAGAAAUACAGGUAAACAGGUAGAAGCCAUUAGAGAAGAAACACAUAUAUUCCAUAAAACAAUACAGAAAAACACAGCCAAACUGUUGAAGGAAUUGAACAAACCAUACAGGUUCUAAAAAUGGGAAUAGAAAGAAUAAAGAAAUCACAAAGGGAGGCAACCCUGGAGAUAGAAAACCUAUGAAACAGAUCAAAAGUCACUAACAGAAUACAUGAGGUAGAAGAGAGAAUCUCAGAUGUAGAAGAUAGCAUAGAAAACAUUGACACAACAGUCAAACAAAAUGCAAAAUGUGAAAAUCUUAUAAUCAAAAACAUCCAGGAAUUUCAGGACACAAUGAAAAGACAAAAGGCAAGGAAAAUAGAAAUGCAAGACAGGAAAGAUUGCCUACUGAAAGGGCCAGUAAACAUCUUUAACAAAAUUAUAGAAAAAAACUUUCCUAAUUUAAAGAAAGAGAUGCCCAUAAACAUAAAGAAAGGCUAUAGAACUCCACAUAUUUUGGACCAGAAAAGAAAUUCCUAAUGUCACAUAAUAAUCAAAACACCAAAUGCACAAAACAAACAAAAAAAGAACAUUAAAAGCAGUAAGUGAAAAAGUAACAUAUAAAGGCAGACCUAUCAGAAUUACACCAGACUUCUCACCAUAGACUAUGAAAGCUAGGGGAUCCUGGGCAGAGCUCAUAGAGAGCCUAAGAAAAUACAAAUGCCAAACCAGACUACUAUACCCAGCAAAACUCUCAAUUACCAUAGAUGGAGAAAUCAAGGUAUUCCAUAACAAAACCAAAUUUAUACAAUAUCUUUCUACAAAUCCAGCUCUACAAACGAUAAUAGAUGAAAAACACCAACACAAGGAGGGAAACAACAUCCUUGAAAAAGCAAGAAAGUAAUCUUUUUUCAACAAACCCAAAAGAAGAUAAACACACAAACAUAAAAAGAAUAUCAAAAAUAACAUGAAUCACUUCUCCUUAAUAUCUCUUUAUAUCAAUGGACUCAUUUCUCCAAUAAAAAUACAUAGAUUAACAGACUGGAUACAUAAAAAGAACCCAGCAUUUUACUGCAUACCGGAAACACACCUCAGUGUUCUAUCAAAUACAGCCAAUACCUCAUAGUAAAAUACUGGAAAAAAAUUUCAUACAAAUGGUCCCAAGAGAAAAGGUGAAGUAGCCAUUCUAAAAUCUAAUAAAAUCAACUUUCAGCAAAACGCUUUCAAAAAAGAAGAAAGACAUUUCAUACUCAUCAAAGAAAAACAUCUAACAAAAUCUCAAUUUUGAACAUCUAUGCUCCAAACACAAGGCUAUUUCAUAAGAGAAAUUGUACUAAAGCUCAAAGCACACAUUACCCUCACACAAUAAUAGUGGGAGACUUCAACACCUCACUUUCAGCAAUAGACAGACCAUAGAAACAGACACUAGAAAGAGACACAUGAAACUAGCAGAAGCUGUGAACUUAAUGGAUUUAACAGAUAUUUAUAGAACAUUUUAUCAUAAAACAAAAGAAUAUACAUUAUUCUCAGCACCUCAUGGAUCCUUCUCCAAAAUUGACCAUAUAAUUGGUCACAAAGCAGGCUUCAAUAUAUACAAGAAGAUUGAAAUGAUCCCAUGAAUCCUAUCAGAUCACCACAGGCUUAGGAUGGUCUCCAAUAACAAAAAAAAAAAAAAAAAAAAAAAAAAAAAAAAAAAAAAAAAAAAAAAAAAAAAACAGAAA
Apodemus sylvaticus (European woodmouse) is the source of this 6090-nucleotide long non-coding RNA. RefSeq lists it as uncharacterized. Lineage: Eukaryota; Metazoa; Chordata; Mammalia; Rodentia; Muridae. The transcript has 2 exons. The record is from RefSeq and is a predicted model, not a curated record.